RNAcentral lists this long non-coding RNA (578 nucleotides) under Pan troglodytes (chimpanzee). RNAcentral describes it as "long non-coding RNA NONPTRT006273". The record is from RNAcentral. Lineage: Eukaryota; Metazoa; Chordata; Mammalia; Primates; Hominidae.
CAUUUUUAAGUGUACAGUUUAGUGAAAUUAAGCUAAAAUGUUAGCUCCAUAAAGCUAGGGAAUCUCUCUUUUGUUCAUGUAUCCCAAGAGUCUAGAGCAAUUCUUGGCAUAGUGGGCAAUUAAAUUGUGGUAGGGAUGUUGUUGAGGUCUUGGGUGUUCAAAGGGAGCUUUAGGGAGGGAGUAAACUAGGCUCCCUAGCAGUUUCAGAAGUUUGGAAGUUUCAGAAGAGAAGGAUGUGAAGAAGUAGUUGGAGAGAAGGCUAUCAAGGUAGUUUGUGGCUAGAUGAUGGAGGGUCUCCAGUACUACCCUAGGGAGUUUGGCUUUCUCUUGUUGGAUGGUUUUUCCUUAAAGGAAACUUAAUCUGCUGUGUGUAGGUUAGAUGCGGGAAACCAGAUGUUACACCAUGCCUGUGUGGAUGUGCAGCUGCUAGUUUAUCAUAGGUCAUCUUCGAUUAUAGUUUGGUAUUUUUUGGCUUCUAUUAUUUUGAUAUAUUUGUUUUUGUUAAUAUAAGAAUGACAAGACUACAUUAUUAUUAUUAUUUUUUUUUGAGACGGAGUCUCGCUCUGUCGCCCAGGCUG